UGGGGAAUUUUGGACAAUGGGGGCAACCCUGAUCCAGCAAUGCCGCGUGUGUGAAGAAGGCCUUCGGGUUGUAAAGCACUUUUGUCCGGAAAGAAAACGCCGUGGUUAAUACCCGUGGCGGAUGACGGUACCGGAAGAAUAAGCACCGGCUAACUACGUGCCAGCAGCCGCGGUAAUACGUAGGGUGCAAGCGUUAAUCGGAAUUACUGGGCGUAAAGCGUGCGCAGGCGGUCCGCUAAGACAGAUGUGAAAUCCCCGGGCUUAACCUGGGAACUGCAUUUGUGACUGGCGGGCUAGAGUAUGGCAGAGGGGGGUAGAAUUCCACGUGUAGCAGUGAAAUGCGUAGAGAUGUGGAGGAAUACCGAUGGCGAAGGCAGCCCCCUGGGCCAAUACUGACGCUCAUGCACGAAAGCGUGGGGGAGCAAACAGGAUUAGAUACCCUGGUAGUCCACGCCCUAAACGAUGUCAACUAGUUGUCGGGUCUUCAUUGACUUGGUAACGUAGCUAACGCGUGAAGUUGACCGCCUGGGGAGUACGGUCGCAAGAUUAAAACUCAAAUGAAUUGACGGGGUCAUAGCUGUUCCUG
This 586-nucleotide ribosomal RNA is filed under the name uncultured bacterium. RNAcentral's name for it is "partial 16S ribosomal RNA". It matches the Rfam family "Bacterial small subunit ribosomal RNA", at positions 355 to 1376 of the family's 1533-position model. The record is from RNAcentral.